CCUACGGGAGGCAGCAGUGGGGAAUAUUGCACAAUGGGGGAAACCCUGAUGCAGCAACGCCGCGUGAGUGAUGAAGGCCUUCGGGUCGUAAAGCUCUGUCCUAAGGGAAGAAUACUGACGGUACCUUAGGAGGAAGCCCCGGCUAACUACGUGCCAGCAGCCGCGGUAAUACGUAGGGGGCUAGCGUUAUCCGGAAUUACUGGGCGUAAAGGGUGCGUAGGCGGCCCUUCAAGUCAGAGGUGAAAGGCUACGGCUCAACCGUAGUAAGCCUUUGAAACUGUAGGGCUUGAGUGCAGGAGAGGGGAGUGGAAUUCCUAGUGUAGCGGUGAAAUGCGUAGAUAUGAGGAAGAACACCAGUGGCGAAGGCGGCUUUCUGGACUGUACUGACGCUCAUGCACGAAAGCGUGGGGAGCAGACAGGAUUAGAUACCCGGGUAGUC
Molecule: ribosomal RNA, 439 nt
Filed under: uncultured bacterium
Lineage: Bacteria
Description: bacterial SSU rRNA
Rfam family: Bacterial small subunit ribosomal RNA
Source: RNAcentral